GAUGAACGCUGGCGGCGUGCCUAAUACAUGCAAGUCGAGCGAACAGACGAGGAGCUUGCUCCUCUGACGUUAGCGGCGGACGGGUGAGUAACACGUGGAUAACCUACCUAUAAGACUGGGAUAACUUUGGGAAACCGGAGCUAAUACCGGAUAAUAUAUUGAACCGCAUGGUUCAAUAGUGAAAGACGGUUUUGCUGUCACUUAUAGAUGGAUCCGCGCCGCAUUAGCUAGUUGGUAAGGUAACGGCUUACCAAGGCGACGAUGCGUAGCCGACCUGAGAGGGUGAUCGGCCACACUGGAACUGAGACACGGUCCAGACUCCUACGGGAGGCAGCAGUAGGGAAUCUUCCGCAAUGGGCGAAAGCCUGACGGGGCAACGCCGCGUGAGUGAUGAAGGUCUUCGGAUCGUAAAACUCUGUUAUUAGGGAAGAACAAAUGUGUAAGUAACUAUGCACGUCUUGACGGUACCUAAUCAGAAAGCCACGGCUAACUACGUG
RNAcentral lists this ribosomal RNA (497 nucleotides) under uncultured bacterium. RNAcentral's name for it is "partial 16S ribosomal RNA". It matches the Rfam family "Bacterial small subunit ribosomal RNA", at positions 28 to 507 of the family's 1533-position model. The record is from RNAcentral.